This 433-nucleotide ribosomal RNA is filed under the name uncultured bacterium. Its description in RNAcentral is "partial 16S ribosomal RNA". It matches the Rfam family "Bacterial small subunit ribosomal RNA", at positions 29 to 507 of the family's 1533-position model. The record is from RNAcentral.
AACGAACGCUGGCGGCAUGCCUAACACAUGCAAGUCGAACGAGACCUUCGGGUCUAUUGGCGCACGGGUGCGUAACGCGUGGGAACCUGCCCUUAGGUUCGGAAUAACUUCCCGAAAGGGGUGCUAAUACCGGAUAAUGUCUUCGGACCAAAGAUUUAUCGCCUUUGGAUGGGCCCGCGUUGGAUUAGCUAGUUGGUAGGGUAAAAGCCUACCAAGUCGACGAUCCAUAGCUGGUCUGAGAGGAUGAUCAGCCACACUGGGACUGAGACACGGCCCAGACUCCUACGGGAGGCAGCAGUGGGGAAUAUUGGACAAUGGGCGAAAGCCUGAUCCAGCAAUGCCGCGUGAGUGAUGAAGGCCUUAGGGUUGUAAAGCUCUUUUACCCGGGAUGAUAAUGACAGUACCGGGAGAAUAAGCUCCGGCUAACUCCGUG